UUUCCAUUACCAAUUGAAGCAAAGCGAGAAAGCUUCUCUCACUGGACCACCAGAGAAUACCCGUGAACAUGUUGUCGCCGCAUCGAAAGCAAUGUUGAAUGGAGAUUGGAAAAAGUGUCAAGACUAUAUCGUCAAUGACAAGAUGAACCAGAAGG
This 155-nucleotide small RNA is filed under the name Caenorhabditis elegans. RNAcentral describes it as "Unclassified non-coding RNA T23D8.14". Lineage: Eukaryota; Metazoa; Nematoda; Chromadorea; Rhabditida; Rhabditidae. The record is from RNAcentral.